UGCUCAUGCUUAUGGAUAUUAUAUAUUGACUUGGUAUUGAAUAAUCUUGCAUAGCUUUAAUGGUUAUACGACUUUUUUAUAAUGAACUCGCCUAUUGAAAUGGUUGUGAUGAUAGAUAUAAUGUUAGUUAAUUAUUUUUGUUAAUUUUUAAAUGUGACAUUAAGGUAUGUUAUAUCGUUUUUCUACCUAUGAACUUACUAAGAUUAGUUGAAGCUUAUUCUAUUUCACUUUCCUAUUUUCCUAUAGUUAUCGUAUUACGGAAUCGGGC
This 268-nucleotide long non-coding RNA is filed under the name Gossypium barbadense (sea-island cotton). RNAcentral's name for it is "long non-coding RNA (GBAR_LNC021676)". Lineage: Eukaryota; Viridiplantae; Streptophyta; Magnoliopsida; Malvales; Malvaceae. The record is from RNAcentral.